Non-coding RNA from Hemibagrus wyckioides, 423 nucleotides. NCBI's taxonomy places the organism in Eukaryota, Metazoa, Chordata, Actinopteri, Siluriformes, Bagridae. The record is from the annotation of a RefSeq genome assembly.
AUGUUCACUGUUAUAUUCAUGUGUCUGUGGCUUUCACUAGGUGACUCCAUGGCAGAUUCAGUAGAGCCACUUUUCAAUUAUAAAGCUGUAGAUGAAGGUGAUGAUGUUACUCUGUCCUGCAAAUACAAAUUCAGUGUUUCAGGAAUCAACUACCUGCAGUGGUACAGGCAAUAUCCAAAAUCUAAACCUGAGUUCCUGCUUUAUAUUUCUACAAAUGGAGAUCCAAGUCAAAACAUCCCCCCAAGAAUGUCUCCUAAAGUUCAUGGUGAUGAACAAGUGGAUCUGAUCAUCUCCUCUGCUGCUGUAUCAGACUCUGCUUUAUACUACUGUGAUCACAACACAAAAGAAAGAAACCAAUGUCAGGAAUGGCAUUCAAACCCACACCUCCAGAAGAGACUUCAACCAGAUGGCCGAGUGGUCUAA